This 255-nucleotide small nuclear RNA is filed under the name Mesocricetus auratus (golden hamster). RNAcentral's name for it is "7SK RNA". It matches the Rfam family "7SK RNA". Rfam says of the family: 7SK was discovered as an abundant small nuclear RNA in the mid-70s but a possible function has only recently been suggested. Two independent studies have found that 7SK RNA binds the CDK9/cyclin T complex (known as elongation factor P-TEFb). Lineage: Eukaryota; Metazoa; Chordata; Mammalia; Rodentia; Cricetidae. The record is from Rfam by way of RNAcentral.
UGGCCAUAUUUGCCCUUUCUAAGAAAUUAUUCAGACCAAAUUUUGUCCUUUUCAAACAUGCUGUCUCGGUCGAAGAGGACGACAUUCCCCGAAUAGAGGAGGACCCGUCUUCGGUUAAGGGUAUACGAGUAGCUGCACUCCCCUGCUAGAACCUCCAAACAAGCUCUCAAACAUGCUGUCUUAACCUUUACAUUGCAUUUGCUGUGUGUUUAGGCAUCUUAACCCAUGCGUGGUUUGCCUGCUCUGCUCAUCUCC